UCAGGUGGAGGAAAGUUGUCCAGCUGGUAGGAAUGUGGGAGAAUGCCCUCUUCAGCCUAAGAUCCAACACACCAAAUGGAAUUGUGAGAUUUCUACGCAUUUGCUAUAUGUUCUUCCUACCUGCAGGUGAGCUGCCAGCCUUAAAAAUUACAGUCACUCCCCAGAUCUCUUCAGACACCUUCAGAUCUAUUUGGAAAAAUAGCAGAAAAUCUAGUAUUACUCCUAAAAAGAAGAAAAAGGCUAAAAAGUGAAUAUGGAUGCCAUCUAUUUCCAUGACCAAUUAGACAUGCCUAGAAAGACAUUGCUUGCUCUUGAAAUAAAAUAAUAUUUUCACUGUAAUCAAGUCCCUUUCAAGUAUUAAAACUUGAUAAGAUCAUUUUAUUAAAGUUCAAAGUGGUGAUAAUCCUUUCACCUCUGCCAUUUUCUAACAUGUGAGUUUCACAAUUGGACCUUAGGUGCGAUUCUCUUAUGGGGCCUCUUCCUUUGUGUAUGUGAAAAUUAUAAUUUGAAAGAGGUCAAGAUCUUUACCUAAGAAAGAAUUUCACCGUAAUUAUAACUAUACUUGGGAACAAUAGGAAUGUUUGUAACUAAUAACCACUUCCUAAAAGACAGCAUCCCUAAAAAUAAGAUCUUCCCCAAAUGGGGAAACUUCUCAUCACUCUAACCUCACCACGAAGAUGUCGACCCUGUGGGAAAUGGAAGCAGGUGUGGAUGAUCAAUGUACAAAUGAUAAACUGGAUUGGUUGAGUUUUGUAUGUCAUGGUAAUGUGAUGCAGCAAUGAAGAGCAUGGACUGUGGACUUAGAUAAACCAGAAUUUUCUGUGGAGAUCCUGCUGCUUUCCCAGUUAAUCUCACAGCACCUCAGUUUCCCGUUAUAUAUGACAUGGAUAAGCAUAGUGCCUAUCUCAUUUGGUGAACAUUAAAUGAGAUGACGCAUAUUCAAGCAUUUUAGGACAAUGCCUGGUACAUAGUAUGUGCUUGAAAAUAAAUAUUAAUGGCAGCUAUUAGUGCUGUUAAUUAUUGUAGAUGUUAGAAUCAAGUGGUUCCAUUCUUUCAGCUAGGGCAGAUUCACAAUAAAAACAAGGGACGGGGAGAUGGGGAAGAAGUGUUAGACCUCUUCAUUUUAAAGUAAAAACAAAACAAAAACUGUACUUCUUCAAAGGAAAAAUAUCUAUCAACAAAGAUCUAUUUUUUGGAAGUUUAUCUACUAUGAGCAUGGAGCUGUAAACAUGUGCAAGAACUGGUCAUUCAUUCUAUGUACAACUUUAGCAAGCACUGGCAAAUUCAUGGACUCAAACUACUGUGGAGGUGGGAAAAGGUACAGUAAAUUAUCUCCACUCGCCAGGAUCUUAGUCUAGCUAGGAAGACUAGACUCUCCAACAUGAAAAAUGAACAAUACAAUAUAAAAGUUGAAACAGUAUGUCAUCAGGAAGGUAAGGAGGGCCAUAGAGUAAUGAGUCAACUGAGCAUAUCUACCAGAACUCACAGAUUCAUUGGAUGAAGCCUCCUAAGAAAUUGUUCCCAUUCAAAAAGAAAAGACCUUUUUGAAAUUUGCCACUCCAGUUUCAUACCCACUGGAUAGGGUGUAAAAUCAUUGUGCCUGUUUAGAGGGUCUUUUGGCAAAGUCUACCGAAAUGAAAAAUAUAUUGCUUUUGACCCAGCCAUUCUGCUUCUAAAAUUUGUUUUACAGAACUACUCUCACACAUGUGCAAGGAAAUGUGUAUAAGGACGUUCCUUGCAGCACUGUUUACUACUAUACAUUGGAAACAACUAAAUGUCUCUCAAACAGCUCUCAGGGAAAUAAAUCAUGUUAAAUACGUGUGGAGACUACUAUGCAGUCAUUAGAAAGAAUGAUGUGAAUAUGUAAAUGCAUGUUUUGGAAAGGUAUUCAAGCAAUACUAUUAAACAAAAAACAGAAGCAGGUUAGAGAAUGGUACAUAUGAAAAUUAACAUUUAUAUGGAAAUUGAAGUUACGUAUUAUGUGUCUGCAUGUACAUAUAUAGAAAUUUUUGGAGACUAUUAAGAGUCUAUUAGCAAGGGGAGCAUGGAGAGUUUGAGAGGUGAUGAAAUUUUGUUUGUUUUUUGUCUUUUAUUACAUUAUUGGAGUAAUGGAAACGCUUUAAACAUGAUUGAAGUGAUGAAUGCACAACUGUGAUUAUACUAAAUACCACUGAUUGUACACUUAAGAUGGAGUGUAUGCUUUAUUAGUAAGCAUCAAUAAAAUUUAUAUUAAAAAUAAAAAAUAAAAAGUUUUAAAGAGCCUAU
Molecule: long non-coding RNA, 2265 nt
Filed under: Dasypus novemcinctus (nine-banded armadillo)
Lineage: Eukaryota; Metazoa; Chordata; Mammalia; Cingulata; Dasypodidae
Description: lncRNA (ENSDNOG00000050212.1)
Source: RNAcentral